Molecule: small RNA, 73 nt
Filed under: Arabidopsis thaliana (thale cress)
Lineage: Eukaryota; Viridiplantae; Streptophyta; Magnoliopsida; Brassicales; Brassicaceae
Description: ATSL153810
Source: RNAcentral
AUUUAAAAGAGAAAAUUGUCCGCGAGUGAGAUCAAUCCGGUGCGAUUUUUCUCUGUGAAAAAAAAUAGAAAAU